RNAcentral lists this ribosomal RNA (927 nucleotides) under Escherichia coli. Its description in RNAcentral is "partial 23S ribosomal RNA". It matches the Rfam family "Bacterial large subunit ribosomal RNA", at positions 584 to 1515 of the family's 2925-position model. The record is from RNAcentral. Lineage: Bacteria; Pseudomonadati; Pseudomonadota; Gammaproteobacteria; Enterobacterales; Enterobacteriaceae.
CUUAGGCGUGUGACUGCGUACCUUUUGUAUAAUGGGUCAGCGACUUAUAUUCUGUAGCAAGGUUAACCGAAUAGGGGAGCCGAAGGGAAACCGAGUCUUAACUGGGCGUUAAGUUGCAGGGUAUAGACCCGAAACCCGGUGAUCUAGCCAUGGGCAGGUUGAAGGUUGGGUAACACUAACUGGAGGACCGAACCGACUAAUGUUGAAAAAUUAGCGGAUGACUUGUGGCUGGGGGUGAAAGGCCAAUCAAACCGGGAGAUAGCUGGUUCUCCCCGAAAGCUAUUUAGGUAGCGCCUCGUGAAUUCAUCUCCGGGGGUAGAGCACUGUUUCGGCAAGGGGGUCAUCCCGACUUACCAACCCGAUGCAAACUGCGAAUACCGGAGAAUGUUAUCACGGGAGACACACGGCGGGUGCUAACGUCCGUCGUGAAGAGGGAAACAACCCAGACCGCCAGCUAAGGUCCCAAAGUCAUGGUUAAGUGGGAAACGAUGUGGGAAGGCCCAGACAGCCAGGAUGUUGGCUUAGAAGCAGCCAUCAUUUAAAGAAAGCGUAAUAGCUCACUGGUCGAGUCGGCCUGCGCGGAAGAUGUAACGGGGCUAAACCAUGCACCGAAGCUGCGGCAGCGACGCUGAUGCGUUGUUGGGUAGGGGAGCGUUCUGUAAGCCUGCGAAGGUGUGCUGUGAGGCAUGCUGGAGGUAUCAGAAGUGCGAAUGCUGACAUAAGUAACGAUAAAGCGGGUGAAAAGCCCGCUCGCCGGAAGACCAAGGGUUCCUGUCCAACGUUAAUCGGGGCAGGGUGAGUCGACCCCUAAGGCGAGGCCGAAAGGCGUAGUCGAUGGGAAACAGGUUAAUAUUCCUGUACUUGGUGUUACUGCGAAGGGGGGACGGAGAAGGCUAUGUUGGCCGGGCGACGGUUGUCCCGGUUUAA